Long non-coding RNA from Papaver somniferum (opium poppy), 2397 nucleotides. RefSeq lists it as uncharacterized. The record is from RefSeq and is a predicted model, not a curated record. NCBI's taxonomy places the organism in Eukaryota, Viridiplantae, Streptophyta, Magnoliopsida, Ranunculales, Papaveraceae. The transcript is spliced from 4 exons.
GUUCUGAUCCAAAACAGCUGCCAUACAUAUAAUUUAUCAUCAAGCAUUCUCAAAAGCACGAUGUUGUCAGUUUGCGCCUAAUUAGCCAUUAUCUACUAGUGGUGGUCUGUACUGGUAAGGUAUGCUUUGUAACUUCUGUUAGUGGGUCUCUCAACACCUUCUCUUGUCAUUUUUAUUGGAAACCCCAAAAGAAGAAGCUUAAACAUAGUUUCUCAAUACCAUCGCCCAUCUCUAUUUCCAGUAAACGAUAACCCUAAUCCCUUUCAUCAAUUUCUUAUCUACGUAAAAGGAGAUCUCUUAACUAUCUUUACAGGGUUUUUUUCUCUUGGAAAAAUAUGGGAUCCCUUAAUUCUUUUACUUCAGUCUAGGGUUCCAUAUCCUUUACUUCAAUCCUUAUCUCUCGAUCACUCACUAUUCAUCUCGGUUGCUCUAAAAAUUUUCAAUUCAGGUUUUUGUGUACAUAAAUCAAGAUUUAAAAGCUCUUUAUCUACUGCCAUCAUAUUAUGGUCCUUAGUUACUUGAUUUGGUUCAUGAUGGUGGUCGCGAAGAUUUGAAGCAUGUGAUUUCGGACAAGGUACAAUUUGUCGUUUUUUUAGUGUAAACCCUAGUUUAUGAUCUGGUUUACCUCAAUUUUUCUAUCUAGGUUUGUUUUUCUUCAAUAUUUACUUGUAGGAAUCCCUAGUUUUAAACAGACACAUUAUUGUUCAGUUUUUCUAUUGAUUGAUCUCAUACGAUUUCAAGCUUGUCAUUCACUGGGUGUGGGACCUUUGUAUUUGAUACCUCAAGGUAAUUUUGUAAGUUUUUCUUUGGUUCGCAUGUAAUAGUGUGUGAUUUAAUUAAUGAUUGUGAUAGUGUGUGAUUUGAUUAAUGAUAAGUGAAAUUUGAACCAGAGUUUGGUGGUAAACAAAUUGGUGGUUUCAUGUUUCUGUACUAGUGGUUUAGUUGUAUCUGGUUUUUAGUGUGACUUCUUUUAUAAUUGUAUUCAAGGAACUUGAUGAGGAAGAAGAGAUUAGUUAUGGGUAUGGGCAACCACAGAGGAGGAAAGACUUUGGUGAUCGUUUUACGUGUUCUUGGAUUUUGGCAAGUACUUAGUCUCUUGAGCAACAUUGUGUUAUCUCUCUUUUAUUAUUAUGCUGAAUUCAAAUUAAUGUUCACAGUUGAAUUUCAAGAGGUUAUUUUCCUCAAAAGAACACUAGUUCCCUUUUGUGUAGAUGACUUCACUCCUCUGUCUAAGAAAAGUGAUGUCAUUUCAAUAGUUCGGUUACAUCAAUUAUCUUCUCAAAUACUCUCUUUGUUGAUAUGAAGAAUUCUAUUAGAUGCACUAGAUGAAAUGCUAUUUGUGGAAGGACUUCCUAGUUGACUGAAAACCGAGGUCAGUUUUAGACCAACUCCCAACAAAACAUUCAUUUACACUAUUGGAAAAUUGCGUCUCUCACUGGAAAAUUGCAUCAUAAGGUGCAACUCGAUUGUGAUGACCAGAAUCGACAUAGUAGAGACAAUCAAACUCAACAACUCUAUGCUGAUUGCAUUAGUGUUGCUAUUAAAAUCUCAGAAAUUCAACUGGACAGAGCAUUGGGAUACACAAAAAUGGGAGGAUAAAGAAUGGUUAUGGGCAGAACUUAAGGAACAACAUGGUUUCCGGAUCUACAACUACAAUUGUUAUUAUAGUUGAUUGUCAAAUAUUGGUUGCCAGUCUGGAGACUCAAAAGCUCAAUUAUAUUCAGAAAAAUACAAGUCUGCAAAAGAAAUUAAAGCUAGAUUUUUGAGGACCAUGGAAAAGGAAGGAUGUGAUGGAGAUCGAAGGGCAUGUUUCCUCAAGUUUGAGGAAACAUAAGCUUACCUCUUCCUACUCAGGUAUCUAUUCAAUCGGUUUUUGUUGAGGUCAGGUAUUCGGUCACCCACACGAAUAAUCUACCUCAAAUUCCAUUUUUCGUAAGUUUAAAUUAUGAUGUUACCUCUAUUACCUCUACAUCGAUUUUAUUCUUGUACCGAUACAAAUGUAUGGUUAGCCUCUAGUGUCUCUUCUGUUUCCUUCCAAGAAAAUAAUUAAUGGCGACUAUUUUGUAUUCUUUCUUCAGUGGAAGUCCGAGCACGUUGGAGAGAUUAUGGAAGUACCAUAAAAAUGGACAAACCAUGUUCAACCGUAGGUGACAUGAUAUCAUAGGAUUGUUGGUCCAGAACGGGGAAAUGAAACACGGAAAAAGUAGAUUUCAACCAACGUAGAUUUCAGACACGGAUAUUAUAGCUUACAAUUUCCUUGUAAUUGAAUUAUAUAUGUCGUUUGUACUUUGUACAUUAAAUUGUAGUUAAGCUAUUUGGUUCGGAAAUUCUAGUUCCGUACUAACUUACUUGUAUUAUCAAUUUAUUAUGUUUGAUCACGAUUUUAAAAAUCACCUA